CCUACGGGAGGCAGCAGUGAGGAAUAUUGGUCAAUGGGCGCGAGCCUGAACCAGCCAAGUAGCGUGAAGGAUGACUGCCCUACUGGUUGUAAACUUCUUUUAUCAAGGCAUAAAGUGCGGCACGUGUGCCUUUUUGUAUGUACUUUAUGAAUAAGGAUCGGCUAACUCCGUGCCAGCAGCCGCGGUAAUACGGAGGAUCCGAGCGUUAUCCGGAUUUAUUGGGUUUAAAGGGAGCGUAGAUGGGUUGUUAAGUCAGUUGUGAAAGUUUGCGGCUCAACCGUAAAAUUGCAAUUGAUACUGGCAGGCUUGAGUACAGUUGAGGUAGGCGGAAUUAGUGGUGUAGCGGUGAAAUGCUUAGAUAUCACGAAGAACUCCGAUUGCGAAGGCAGCUUACGAAACUGCAACUGACAUUGAUGCUCGAAAGUGUGGGUAUCAAACAGGAUUAGAUACCCUUGUAGUC
RNAcentral lists this ribosomal RNA (460 nucleotides) under uncultured bacterium. RNAcentral's name for it is "partial 16S ribosomal RNA". It matches the Rfam family "Bacterial small subunit ribosomal RNA", at positions 338 to 795 of the family's 1533-position model. The record is from RNAcentral.